UUAUUUGUGGUCAAGAUUGGCUUCACCCCCAUUCAAAGCCAAUAAAUUUGGAGGAGGACUUGAAUGAAAUUGAAUUGCUUGAUCAAGGUAAUUUGUAUUAUUUUGAUUCUUUAAUUUGUCCUGUUUAAUUUUUUUUUUUUUUCUGUUACAAGUUAUAUAACUUGUUGUUUUUUUUCUCUCUAUUUUUUGUUUUUGUGUAGAACUAGCACAAUUGGAGGUAGGAUCAUCAAGAACUGAGGAUUGACUUGGUGAUUUGGUAACUUAUUGAAGGGUUGGUUACUUUUUGUCUGUUUUGUUUUGGUUGAUUUUGUGACUGUUGGAUUUGAAUAUUUUGAUUGAUUUUGGUGACUUAUAACUUAUUUAAGGAUGUAAUAUUUUUCUUUUGUUGAUUUUGGACCGUUGAAUAUUUGAAGUUGUCUGGAUUUUGGAAGUUGAACUGAUUUUGUUUUUGUAUUUGAAGUGUAUUUUUGAAUUGUUGUGGUUCUGUGGACUGUGGAGUGUGGAGUGUGAAACUGUUUGGGAAUUAUGAAGUGUGAUUUCAUAUGUAGAUUUGGAUGUAAAAAAAAAAAAAAAAAAAAAAAGAAAAAAAAAUCAGAACAGCAAAACCCGAACCCGA
Molecule: long non-coding RNA, 616 nt
Filed under: Erythranthe guttata (spotted monkey flower)
Lineage: Eukaryota; Viridiplantae; Streptophyta; Magnoliopsida; Lamiales; Phrymaceae
Description: long non-coding RNA (EGUT_LNC001724)
Source: RNAcentral